Molecule: ribosomal RNA, 278 nt
Filed under: uncultured actinomycete
Lineage: Bacteria; Bacillati; Actinomycetota; Actinomycetes; Actinomycetales
Description: partial 16S rRNA
Rfam family: Bacterial small subunit ribosomal RNA
Source: RNAcentral
UGGAUUAGCCCGGGGCCUAUCAGCUUGUUGGUGGGGGAAUGGCCUCCAAGGCGCCGACGGGUAGCCGGCCUGAGAGGGUGGACGGCCACAUUGGGACUGAGAUACGGCCCAGACUCCUACGGGAGGCAGCAGUGGGGAAUAUUGCACAAUGGGCGCAAGCCUGAUGCAGCGACGCCGCGUGGGGGAUGACGGCCGGCGGGUUUGAACUCCUUUUUUUUCCCACCAAGCUUUGUGUGACCAUACCUACAUUUCCCCGCCCCCCUAGACCCCCAAACUUC